This 409-nucleotide long non-coding RNA is filed under the name Brassica rapa (field mustard). Its description in RNAcentral is "long non-coding RNA (BRAP_LNC005370)". The record is from RNAcentral. Lineage: Eukaryota; Viridiplantae; Streptophyta; Magnoliopsida; Brassicales; Brassicaceae.
UGAAUUAUAUAUAUAAUAAUAAGUAAAUACACAAUUUUUUUUAAAAAUGGAAAAACUUCAUUAAGCAUUAAACAUCUAUCUAAAAAUGUAAAAUAUAUAAUAUAAGUAAAUACACAAUUUUAAAAAAUAGAAAAAUUACAUUAAGAUUUAAAUAUCUAUUUUAAAAUAUAAAAUAUAGAUAUUACGUAAAUUAAAAUAUAAGAAAUGGAAAUAAACAUUAAAAAAAAUGGAAAAAGUACAUUAAGAUUUAAACAUCUAUCUUAAAUUGUACAUCUAUCUUAAAAUGGUAGUAAAUUAUAUAAAAAUGGAAAUACCACAUUAGACAAAAAAAAUGUAUAGUUUUACAUCAAGAAAGUCCCUAUAAAACUCAUUAUUCCAUCAAUAUCAACCUCACUUUAUCAAGUAAAAC